This 552-nucleotide long non-coding RNA is filed under the name Physcomitrium patens. RNAcentral describes it as "long non-coding RNA (PPAT_LNC003148)". Lineage: Eukaryota; Viridiplantae; Streptophyta; Bryopsida; Funariales; Funariaceae. The record is from RNAcentral.
UCACAAAUAUCACUCAAAUACAUCUCAAUUCAAUCUUAAUUUAAUUCUAGUUAAAAUCCUAUUGAACUUCAUUCAAACUUUAGGCCAAACCUAAUCAAAUCUUAAAUCCUAAUGAAAUCCUAAAUCCUAAAUCAAACCUUAAACAAACCUUAAACCAAAUCUCAACCAAAUCCUAAACCAAAUCUUAACCAAAUCCUAAUUAAAUCCUAAAUCCUAAAUCAAAUCCUAAUCAAAUUCUAAUCCAAAUCCUAAACCCUAAACCAAACCCUAAUCCAAACCCUAAAUAAAACCCUAACCAAAUCUUAAAUCAAACCCUAACUAAAUCCUAAACCAAAUCCUAAAUCCUAAACCAAAUCCUAAUCAAAUUCUAAACCCUAAAUUAAAUCCUAACCAAAUCCUAAAUCCUAAAUCAAACCCUAAUCCAAAUCCUAAACUCUAAAUCAAACUCUAACCAAACCCUAAACUAAACCCUAGUAAUUCCUACAAUAGAUUUAAACCUCAAUAACUAAUGAAUAAACUAUCGAUCUUAACUCAAAUUUUUCACACUUCUUA